GACUUCUGGUUUAAUGCACCUGGCCCGCGGCCCACAAGGCCUGUGAGUGCCGGCGCGCGUUUACCAACGGCUACCCUUAACUGGGCGGCUGGAACUGGAUCUUUUACUUUGAAAAAAUUAGAGUGUUUAAAGCAGGAACUGAAGUAAUGAUUGAUAGGGAUAGUUGGGGGUGCUAGUAUUGGCCGGUCAGAGGUGAAAUUCUUGGAUUCGGUAGCAUUCACCAAGGAUGUCUUCUUCUGUCUCUUAUACACA
RNAcentral lists this ribosomal RNA (252 nucleotides) under uncultured Rhogostoma. RNAcentral describes it as "partial 18S ribosomal RNA". Lineage: Eukaryota; Cercozoa; Thecofilosea; Cryomonadida. The record is from RNAcentral.